UAUAACAACCUAACAUACUCACUGAGCACUUUAUUAGGAGCAUUACACUUAAACUGGGUAGGGCUUCCCUUUGCUCUCAAAACAGCCAAAAUUCUUCGUGGCAUGGAUUCCACAAGCUGUUGGAAACAUUAGUUUGAGAUUCUGGUCCAUAUUGACAUGAGUGCAUCAUGCAGUUCCUGCAGAUUUUUCAGGUGCACAUUCAUGCUUCGAAACUCCUGUUCUACCACACCCCGAAGGUGUUCUACUGAAUUCAGAUCUGGUGACUGGGAAGAACAUUGAGCUCAUUGUCAUGUUCAUGAAACCAGUUUGAGAUGACUUUUGCUUUGUGACAUGGUGCAUUAUCACGCUGGAAGUAGCCAUUAGAAGAUGGGCAAUUGUGGCCAUGAAGGGAUGCACAUGGUCAGCAACAAUACUCAAAUAGGCUGUGGCAUUCAAGUGAUGAUUGAUUGGUAUUAACAGGCCAAAACUGUGCUGAGAAGGCAUUCCCCACCCCAUCUCACCACCUCCACCAGCCCGGAAUAUUGACACUGUGGAGGAAUUUCCUGUUAUCUAUAUCAAUAUCAUUUGUUAAUCAGUAUUAUAUCAAUCAGUAUCUAUGCAACAGUAUUGAAAAGUGACCUUAAAUCACCUCAUGUAUUAACUUUUAGAGCUUCAUUUAUAUACUACACUGUACCAUUUCUAGUACAUUUAGAAGAGUGACUCUAGGCCUGUGAUCCUGCAGGGAUGUUUCUGUGAGAACGGACUGGUGUGACCUUGAAGAUGGAGUUUUUUUAAGAAGUAUCUGCCACAACAUAUUUACUGGCGUAGUCGGCAGGAUUGGACAGGAGCCAGGAGCUCCGCCACGGCUGGGCCUACUGAAGCAGAUUGCACAAAACCCUGGGGAAUGAAGAUGUAGCUCCAACUGAGCAAGAGAAGCUGUUCAUACAGAAGCUGCGACAGUGUUGUGUCCUUUUUGACUUUGUCUCUGAUCCCCUAAGUGACCUGAAAUGGAAGGAGGUGAAGCGGGCAGUGCUGAGCAAAAUGGUGGAGUACGUUACCCACAACCGCAAUGUUACCACAGAGCCCAUCU
Molecule: long non-coding RNA, 1069 nt
Organism: Pangasianodon hypophthalmus (striped catfish)
Lineage: Eukaryota; Metazoa; Chordata; Actinopteri; Siluriformes; Pangasiidae
Exons: 3
Source: RefSeq, a predicted model, not a curated record